RNAcentral lists this ribosomal RNA (409 nucleotides) under uncultured bacterium. RNAcentral describes it as "bacterial SSU rRNA". It matches the Rfam family "Bacterial small subunit ribosomal RNA", at positions 505 to 916 of the family's 1533-position model. The record is from RNAcentral.
GUGUCAGCAGCCGCGGUAAUACGGAGGGUGCAAGCGUUAUCCGGAUUCACUGGGUUUAAAGGGUGCGUAGGAGGGCAGGUAAGUCAGUGGUGAAAUCUCCGAGCUUAACUUGGAAACUGCCAUUGAUACUAUUGAUCUUGAAUUUUGUUGAGGUGGGCGGAAUAUGUCAUGUAGCGGUGAAAUGCAUAGAUAUGACAUAGAACACCAAUUGCGAAGGCAGCUCACUAAGCAAACAUUGACGCUGAGGCACGAAAGCGUGGGGAUCAAACAGGAUUAGAUACCCUGGUAGUCCACGCCCUAAACGAUGAUUACUCGACAUACGCGAUACACUGUGUGUGUCUGAGCGAAAGCAUUAAGUAAUCCACCUGGGAAGUACGACCGCAAGGUUGAAACUCAAAGGAAUUGACGG